GAUGAACGCUGGCGGCGUGCCUAAUACAUGCAAGUCGAACGAGUUCUCGUUGAUGAUCGGUGCUUGCACCGAGAUUCAACAUGGAACGAGUGGCGGACGGGUGAGUAACACGUGGGUAACCUGCCCUUAAGUGGGGGAUAACAUUUGGAAACAGAUGCUAAUACCGCAUAGAUCCAAGAACCGCAUGGUUCUUGGCUGAAAGAUGGCGUAAGCUAUCGCUUUUGGAUGGACCCGCGGCGUACUAGCUAGUUGGUGAGGUAAUGGCUCACCAAGGCGAUGAUACGUAGCCGAACUGAGAGGUUGAUCGGCCACAUUGGGACUGAGACACGGCCAAACUCCUACGGGAGGCAGCAGUAGGGAAUCUUCCACAAUGGACGCAAGUCUGAUGGAGCAACGCUGCGUGAGUGAAGAAGGCUUUCGGGUCGUAAAACUCUGUUGUUGGAGAAGAAUGGUCGGCAGAGUAACUGUUGUCGGCGUGACGGUAUCCAACCAGAAAGCCACGGCUAACUACGUGCCAGCAGCCGCGGUAAUACGUAGGUGGCAAGCGUUAUCCGGAUUUAUUGGGCGUAAAGCGAGCGCAGGCGGUUUUUUAAGUCUGAUGUGAAAGCCCUCGGCUUAACCGAGGAAGCGCAUCGGAAACUGGGAAACUUGAGUGCAGAAGAGGACAGUGGAACUCCAUGUGUAGCGGUGAAAUGCGUAGAUAUAUGGAAGAACACCAGUGGCGAAGGCGGCUGUCUGGUCUGUAACUGACGCUGAGGCUCGAAAGCAUGGGUAGCGAACAGGAUUAGAUACCCUGGUAGUCCAUGCCGUAAACGAUGAAUGCUAGGUGUUGGAGGGUUUCCGCCCUUCAGUGCCGCAGCUAACGCAUUAAGCAUUCCGCCUGGGGAGUACGACCGCAAGGUUGAAACUCAAAGGAAUUGACGGGGGCCCGCACAAGCGGUGGAGCAUGUGGUUUAAUUCGAAGCAACGCGAAGAACCUUACCAGGUCUUGACAUCUUUUGAUCACCUGAGAGAUCAGGUUUCCCCUUCGGGGGCAAAAUGACAGGUGGUGCAUGGUUGUCGUCAGCUCGUGUCGUGAGAUGUUGGGUUAAGUCCCGCAACGAGCGCAACCCUUAUGACUAGUUGCCAGCAUUUAGUUGGGCACUCUAGUAAGACUGCCGGUGACAAACCGGAGGAAGGUGGGGAUGACGUCAAAUCAUCAUGCCCCUUAUGACCUGGGCUACACACGUGCUACAAUGGAUGGUACAACGAGUUGCGAGACCGCGAGGUCAAGCUAAUCUCUUAAAGCCAUUCUCAGUUCGGACUGUAGGCUGCAACUCGCCUACACGAAGUCGGAAUCGCUAGUAAUCGCGGAUCAGCACGCCGCGGUGAAUACGUUCCCGGGCCUUGUACACACCGCCCGUCACACCAUGAGAGUUUGUAACACCCGAAGCCGGUGGCGUAACCCUUUUAGGGAGCGAGCCGUCUAAGGUGGGACAAAUGAUUAGGGUG
Molecule: ribosomal RNA, 1491 nt
Filed under: Lacticaseibacillus paracasei
Lineage: Bacteria; Bacillati; Bacillota; Bacilli; Lactobacillales; Lactobacillaceae
Description: bacterial SSU rRNA
Rfam family: Bacterial small subunit ribosomal RNA
Source: RNAcentral